GUCGGGAUAGCUCAGUGGAGAGCAG
RNAcentral lists this transfer RNA (25 nucleotides) under Corypha utan. RNAcentral describes it as "partial transfer RNA-Phe". Lineage: Eukaryota; Viridiplantae; Streptophyta; Magnoliopsida; Arecales; Arecaceae. The record is from RNAcentral.